GAGUUACAACCAGCCCUGGAAUGAACUGAAUUCUCUUACUUUGGGUUACACAUUCUUCAGGGCAGCUAUGUGCCGUUUCACGACGGGGACGCAUUCCGAGAAACUGCUGUGCCCGUUGGAGUGAGCCGCGGACACAGAUGGCCAAGCCCUGUGCGCGUGCACGGCCUGUUGUGUGGGGCCCGGCUGCAUUCGAUCUCAGCGCCUCACUUUGUUUCUUGGUCACAUCGCAGCUGUGGUUUGCGUACGUGUCUCCGCGGGUCCAUGUGUUAAGGUGCUGCUUCGCUCAGGCCCAGGGCAUCGGGGCCAACUGAUCACGAGCUGAAACUUCCAAACUGGAUCGAACUCAGAACCUUGUGCUUGCCAGGCAGGUGUGGUGCCACCGAGCUACAUCCCUGGCCCGAAAAAGUAAUUCUUCCUAUCGGCCCGCAGUACUGUUACUUGCUUUGUGUCAGUGUGAACUGUGUCUGGGAUCACUUUCCAUCCUUUUGAAGAUGCUCUGGAGAUAUUUCCUGCAGGUUCUGAAGGAGGCCUUAGUCCAAGUGGAUCUCGGGUCACAGGCUUGUUGGAACCGAGAGGUCUGAGGAGACCGUUUCUCUCCAGUGGUGAAAAGGGCAACCCUGGCUGGUCCUCAGGCCCUGGAGGGCACCGGGGCAGAAGCAGUUAAGAGAGCAACGCCAGAGUUUCUGGCGGCCGAGCCCUGCUGGGUUCCAGCUCUAGGUGUCUGCUGGAAAGUGCAGCUGGGAGCCAGGUGACACGCUGUGUGUGUGUUUUGCUGUUACCAGAGAAACAAGAGGGAAAAAUAAAGAACAGUUUCCACAAAAAUCCAAACGGA
RNAcentral lists this long non-coding RNA (832 nucleotides) under Heterocephalus glaber (naked mole-rat). RNAcentral describes it as "lncRNA (ENSHGLG00000048820.1)". The record is from RNAcentral. Lineage: Eukaryota; Metazoa; Chordata; Mammalia; Rodentia; Bathyergidae.